This 90-nucleotide transfer RNA is filed under the name Hyphomicrobium sp. RNAcentral's name for it is "tRNA-Ser". It matches the Rfam family "tRNA". Rfam says of the family: Transfer RNA (tRNA) molecules are approximately 80 nucleotides in length. Their secondary structure includes four short double-helical elements and three loops (D, anti-codon, and T loops). RNAcentral also lists the same sequence under 3 other names. Lineage: Bacteria; Pseudomonadati; Pseudomonadota; Alphaproteobacteria; Hyphomicrobiales; Hyphomicrobiaceae. The record is from RNAcentral.
GGAGGGGUGGCCGAGUGGUUUAAGGCACCGGUCUUGAAAACCGGCGUGGGUGCAAGCCCACCGUGGGUUCGAAUCCCACCCCCUCCGCCA